GACGAACGCUGGCGGCGUGCUUAACACAUGCAAGUCGAACGGAAAGGCCCUGCUUUUGUGGGGUGCUCGCGUGGCGAACGGGUGAGUAACACGUGAGUAACCUGCCCUUGACUUUGGGAUAACUUCAGGAAACUGGGGCUACUACCGGAUAGGAGCUCCUGCUGCAUGGUGGGGGUUGGAAAGUUUCGGCGGGUGGGGAUGGACUCGGGGCUUAUCAGCUUGUUGGGGGGGUAGUGGCUUACCAAGGCUUUGACGGGUAGCCGGCAUGAGAGGGUGACCGGCCACAUUGGGCCUGGGAGAGGGACCAGACUCCUACGGGAGGCAGCAGUGGGGAAUAUUGCACAAUGGGCGGAAGCCUGAUGCAGCAACGCCGCGUGCGGGAUGACGGCCUUCGGGUUGUAAACCGCUUUCGCCUGUGACGAAGCGUGAGUGACGGUAAUGGGUAAAGAAGCACCGGCUAACUACGUG
Molecule: ribosomal RNA, 468 nt
Filed under: uncultured bacterium
Lineage: Bacteria
Description: partial 16S ribosomal RNA
Rfam family: Bacterial small subunit ribosomal RNA
Source: RNAcentral